GGAUUAGAUACCCUGGUAGUCCACGCCGUAAACUAUGAUUACUCGUUUUCGGCGAUAUACAGUCGGAGACUAAGCGAAAGUGAUAAGUAAUCCACCUGGGGAGUACGAUCGCAAGGUUGAAACUCAAAGGAAUUGACGGGGGCCCGCACAAGCGGUGGAGCAUGUGGUUUAAUUCGAUGAUACGCGAGGAACCUUACCAGGGCUUAAAUGCAGAACGCAUAAUUUGGAAACAGAUUAGUCUUCGGACGUUCUGCAAGGUGCUGCAUGGCUGUCGUCAGCUCGUGCCG
RNAcentral lists this ribosomal RNA (287 nucleotides) under uncultured bacterium. Its description in RNAcentral is "partial 16S ribosomal RNA". It matches the Rfam family "Bacterial small subunit ribosomal RNA", at positions 775 to 1067 of the family's 1533-position model. The record is from RNAcentral.